GAUGAACGCUGGCGGCGUGCCUAAUACAUGCAAGUCGAACGCAUUGAGAGAAGUGCUUGCACUUUUCAAUUUGAGUGGCGAACGGGUGAGUAACACGUGGGCAACCUACCUGAUAGCGGGGGAUAACGAGUGGAAACAUUCGCUAAUACCGCAUAACAAUAGAGAAGGCAUCUUCUUUAUUUAAAAGGCGCUUUCAAGCGUCACUAUCAGAUGGGCCCGCGGUGCAUUAGUUAGUUGGUGGGGUGAAGGCCUACCAAGACGAUGAUGCAUAGCCGAGUUGAGGGACUGAUCGGCAACAUUGGGACUGAGAAACGGCCCAAACUCCUACGGGAGGCUGCAGUAGGGAAUCUUCCACAAUGGACGAAAGUCUGAUGGAGCAACGCCGCGUGUGUGAUGAAGGCUUUCGGGUCGUAAAGCACUGUUGUAUGGGAAGAAAUGCUAGGCUAGGAAAUGAGCUUAGUUUGACGGUACCAUACCAGAAAGGGACGGCUAAAUACGUGCCAGCCGCCGCGGUAA
Molecule: ribosomal RNA, 516 nt
Filed under: uncultured bacterium
Lineage: Bacteria
Description: partial 16S ribosomal RNA
Rfam family: Bacterial small subunit ribosomal RNA
Source: RNAcentral